RNAcentral lists this small RNA (634 nucleotides) under Pan troglodytes (chimpanzee). RNAcentral describes it as "retained intron". The record is from RNAcentral. Lineage: Eukaryota; Metazoa; Chordata; Mammalia; Primates; Hominidae.
UGGAGUUGUGACUAGUAUGUGGGUCUCCUGAUACCUUUAGCAGUGCUUUACCCCUGGAACCAAUGAUUGUGAUGUGCUUUCUAACAAGCUGGGAAUAUCAUUCUUCUCAUUUGAUUUUUCUGCUUCAGAACCCAGAACUAGUUGCCCGGCUGGAGAAGAUUAAGAUACAGCUGGCCAAUGAGGAAUAUAAGCGGAUCACCCGCAACGUCACUUGUCAGGAUACAAGACAUGGUGGGACUCUCAGCGACCUGGGAAAGCAAGUGAGAUCAUUGAAGGCUCUGGUCAUCACCAUCUUCAAUUUCAUUGUCACGGUGGUUGCUGCCUUCGUCUGCACUUACCUUGGAAGCCAAUAUAUCUUCACAGAAAUGGCCUCGGUGAGUAGGCACUGGGCAGGGCAGGGUGCCCCUGGUAGGGGUGUUAGUGGGUAAGGGAGGACGUAUGUGAAAGUGCCUUGCACAGGUGAGGUAUUGAACAGAUAUUUAUGCCAUUAAUAAGGGGAGCAUUAGAGCUUUCCAGCAGUCACGGGAGGUUAGGUAAUAACCCCAGGAGAAGCCACAUUCUCUUUUCUUCCCCUCCCCCAACUUAGAGGGUGGUUGGGGGCUCUCCAUCCUCAUUAAAGUUGCUGGGGUACAGA